AACAUGUUUAGCUACUUUGUCAAGUAUAUAAAGCUAAACGUGUUUAAAUUCUAAACACUUUCAAUAUUUAGACACUUUCCUAAACACGUUUAGAAUUACAACACAUUUAGGCCGAAUACGGCAUUCAUAUCACGUGCUAAUUUUUGAGCGGGAAGAAGAAACAAAGAACCCGAAGUCAAAGGCCACGCUGUUUACUUCUGAUCAUAACUGACCGUAACUUGACUGUUUCAGAAAGAUGAGAGAAGUGCAGAGGAAAUCAUCAUCUGUCUUGGCAUGCUAAAAGAGGAGAUAAAGAACAGUAGCAAAUAUGCUGCUAGGCCAUUGACCAGCAGUUGGGUACUAAGAAAGGAGAAGCUCUUAUUGACCUGUAAAAUGAAAACAGGACAUUUUCAAAUUGUUUUGUUGUAGGGAUGGGGUACAAGUAGAAGAUUGGUCAAUAUUAUGUACAUGUACCUUGAUAUGAAUUUAUUUUUGAUUGUGUUCAAUGAUAAACUGGAAAUAAAUGAUAACAUAAAUUC
Mytilus californianus (California mussel) is the source of this 518-nucleotide long non-coding RNA. RefSeq lists it as uncharacterized. The record is from RefSeq and is a predicted model, not a curated record. The transcript has 3 exons. NCBI's taxonomy places the organism in Eukaryota, Metazoa, Mollusca, Bivalvia, Mytilida, Mytilidae.